RNAcentral lists this ribosomal RNA (490 nucleotides) under uncultured bacterium. RNAcentral describes it as "bacterial SSU rRNA". It matches the Rfam family "Bacterial small subunit ribosomal RNA", at positions 38 to 510 of the family's 1533-position model. The record is from RNAcentral.
GGCGGCGUGCCUAACACAUGCAAGUCGCGCGCGAAAAGGGGCAACCCUUAGUAGAGCGGCGGACGGGUGAGUAACACGUGGGUAAUCUGCCUAGGAGCGGGGGAUAACCUGGGGAAACUCGGGCUAAUACCGCAUACGAUCAUGGGGCCUUGGCCCUGUGCUGAAAGGUGGCCUCUGCUUGCAAGCUACCACUCCUAGAGGAGCCCGCGCCUGAUUAGCUAGUUGGUGGGGUAAUGGCCUACCAAGGCGACGAUCAGUAGCCGGCCUGAGAGGGCGAUCGGCCACACUGGAACUGAGACACGGUCCAGACUCCUACGGGAGGCAGCAGUGAGGAAUCUUGCGCAAUGGGGGAAACCCUGACGCAGCAACGCCGCGUGGAGGAUGAAGGUCUUCGGAUUGUAAACUCCUGUCAGAGGGGACGAAUGCUUGCGGGCUAAUCACCGUAAGUUUGACGGUACCCUCAGAGGAAGCCACGGCUAACUCUGUGCCA